Molecule: ribosomal RNA, 375 nt
Filed under: uncultured bacterium
Lineage: Bacteria
Description: bacterial SSU rRNA
Rfam family: Bacterial small subunit ribosomal RNA
Source: RNAcentral
UAAGACGAACCGUGCGAACGUUGUUCGGAAUCACUGGGCUUAAAGGGCGCGUAGGCGGGUUCACAAGUCCGGGGUGAAAGCCCCCAGCUCAACUGGGGAAGCGCCUUGGAUACUGUGGGUCUCGAGGGGGGUAGGGGCGCGCGGAACUUCCGGUGGAGCGGUGAAAUGCGUAGAUAUCGGAAGGAACACCGGUGGCGAAAGCGGCGCGCUGGACCCCUUCUGACGCUGAGGCGCGAAAGCCAGGGGAGCAAACGGGAUUAGAUACCCCGGUAGUCCUGGCCCUAAACGAUGGGUACUAGGUUGUGGACUUACAUGGGUUCACAGCCGGAGCAAAAGUGUUAAGUACCCCGCCUGGGGAGUAUGGUCGCAAGGCUG